RNAcentral lists this ribosomal RNA (470 nucleotides) under uncultured eukaryote. Its description in RNAcentral is "bacterial SSU rRNA". It matches the Rfam family "Eukaryotic small subunit ribosomal RNA", at positions 626 to 1045 of the family's 1831-position model. The record is from RNAcentral.
AUGGGUUUCUUCCUACUAGAGUUCGAUUCUGUUCUUAACUGAAUGGAGUAGCUAUCUUUCGGGGUGGUCAGUUGGUUGUUAUAUCUCCACUAAUAAGCAGAGAGGGGUUAAACCUUUGAAGUAAGUUAUGUGGGUCAAGGUAUAAUGAUUAAUUGGAGUUCUAGUUCAUUUACUUUGAGAAAAUUAGAGUGUUUAAAAGCAGCCUCUUGGGGCACUGAAUACAUUAGCAUGGGAUAAUAAAAUAGGAUCUUCACAAUAUAUUUUAUUGGUUUAAAUUGGAUAUGAAGAUAAUGAUUAAUAGGGACAGUUGGGGGUAUUCAUAUUGGGUGGUUAGCGGUGAAAUGCUCGGAUCCAUUCAAGAUGAACUAAAGCGAAAGCAUUUACCAAGGAUGUUUCAUUAAUCAAGAACGAAAGUUAAGGGAUCGAAGACGAUUAGAUACCGUCGUAGUCUUAACUAUAAACUAUAGCCG